AGUUUCAGCAGAAGGCUCUGAAGCAAAAUAAGCAGAAGAAAUCCAAGUCGGCUGAAUUUCUGAUGGUUAAAGAAGAUAGAGAAGCUACAGAAGGCUUUGAAAAUCCAGCUUUUAACAUGAGCACCUCAGACCUCUCAGCACAUCAGGCUUCAGAAGAGAAAAUUAUUAGGCAUGACACACUAGAUCGCACCCUUGCAGCUCACCAACAAAAAUCCAGGCUGCCAGUCUCCACAGAGCCAAAAGGAAAUGAAUACGGCAGAAAUUACUUUGACCCACUGAUGGAUGAGGAAAUAAACCCAAGGCAGUGUGGGAUGGAGGUCAGCAGAGAGGGUGACAACAAAGUUUUCUGUAAUCAAUUAAUGGAGUUGUCUGAUGAGAGUGGACGAGAAGAAUCUCAAGAUGGGAGCACCAAGGAGGAGAUUUUGGAUUCUGAAGCACUCACAAGUUCCUGUAAGAUUUAUGAAACCCACAAAGAGGCAGAUGAAGCCAUCCCUGAUUCCAUCAAGGCGUUUGAAAGACAUGCUCAGAAAGACAUAACUCUGAUCGGAAGUUCUCCGUUUGAACAGGACUUGAAAUUUGAAGAAGGACUCCACCAGUACAUUCCUAUGUCAUGUUUAAAGAUGGACAAAACAUCCAAGAAGUAAUCAAACUUCCUUUGCAUUUCGAUGAUCAAAAAGUACAUGAAAACUGUACUCGGCUCUCCCCUGAAUUUUCCGUCUGUUUAGUGGCUGAAGCAGAGAAAGCAAAAUUAAAUACGGACAACCCAGCCGGCCUCUCAGGGAAAACAACCCAGGAAAAGAUUCCUGUGUCAACGGAGCAUGGAGCUGAAUCUGCCUUACACUCUUCUCAUGGUUAGUUCACAUUCGACUGCUGGUAUUUCAAAUUGU
This 887-nucleotide long non-coding RNA is filed under the name Fukomys damarensis (Damara mole-rat). RNAcentral describes it as "lncRNA (ENSFDAG00000033482.1)". The record is from RNAcentral. Lineage: Eukaryota; Metazoa; Chordata; Mammalia; Rodentia; Bathyergidae.